UUAAGCGACCAAGCGUACACGGUGGAUGCCCUGGCAGUCAGAGGCGAUGAAGGACGUGCUAAUCUGCGAUAAGCGCCGGUAAGGUGAUAUGAACCGUUAUAACCGGCGAUUUCCGAAUGGGGAAACCCAGUGUGAUUCGUCACACUAUCAUUAACUGAAUCCAUAGGUUAAUGAGGCGAACCGGGGGAACUGAAACAUCUAAGUACCCCGAGGAAAAGAAAUCAACCGAGAUUCCCCCAGUAGCGGCGAGCGAACGGGGAGGAGCCCAGAGCCUGAAUCAGCAUGUGUGUUAGUGGAAGCGUCUGGAAAGGCGCGCGAUACAGGGUGACAGCCCCGUACACAAAAGCGCACAUGCUGUGAGCUCGAUGAGUAGGGCGGGACACGUGGUAUCCUGUCUGAAUAUGGGGGGACCAUCCUCCAAGGCUAAAUACUCCUGACUGACCGAUAGUGAACCAGUACCGUGAGGGAAAGGCGAAAAGAACCCCGGCGAGGGGAGUGAAACAGAACCUGAAACCGUGUACGUACAAGCAGUGGGAGCCUCUCUUUAUGGGGGGUGACUGCGUACCUUUUGUAUAAUGGGUCAGCGACUUAUAUUCUGUAGCAAGGUUAACCGCAUAGGGGAGCCGAAGGGAAACCGAGUCUUAACCGGGCGUUAAGUUGCAGGGUAUAGACCCGAAACCCGGUGAUCUAGCCAUGGGCAGGUUGAAGGUUGGGUAACACUAACUGGAGGACCGAACCGACUAAUGUUGAAAAAUUAGCGGAUGACCUGUGGCUGGGGGUGAAAGGCCAAUCAAACCGGGAGAUAGCUGGUUCUCCCCGAAAGCUAUUUAGGUAGCGCCUCGUGAACUCAUCUCCGGGGGUAGAGCACUGUUUCGGCUAGGGGGCCAUCCCGGCUUACCAACCCGAUGCAAACUGCGAAUACCGGAGAAUGUUAUCACGGGAGACACACGGCGGGUGCUAACGUCCGUCGUGAAGAGGGAAACAACCCAGACCGCCAGCUAAGGUCCCAAAGUCAUGGUUAAGUGGGAAACGAUGUGGGAAGGCCCAGACAGCCAGGAUGUUGGCUUAGAAGCAGCCAUCAUUUAAAGAAAGCGUAAUAGCUCACUGGUCGAGUCGGCCUGCGCGGAAGAUGUAACGGGGCUAAACCAUGCACCGAAGCUGCGGCAGCGACACUGUGUGUUGUUGGGUAGGGGAGCGUUCUGUAAGCCUGCGAAGGUGGCCUGUGAGGGUUGCUGGAGGUAUCAGAAGUGCGAAUGCUGACAUAAGUAACGAUAAAGCGGGUGAAAAGCCCGCUCGCCGGAAGACCAAGGGUUCCUGUCCAACGUUAAUCGGGGCAGGGUGAGUCGACCCCUAAGGCGAGGCCGAAAGGCGUAGUCGAUGGGAAACGGGUUAAUAUUCCCGUACUUGGUGUUACUGCGAAGGGGGGACGGAGAAGGCUAUGUUGGCCGGGCGACGGUUGUCCCGGUUUAAGCGUGUAGGCUGACUUUCCAGGCAAAUCCGGAGAGUCAAGGCUGAGGCGUGACGACGAGGCACUACGGUGCUGAAGCAACAAAUGCCCUGCUUCCAGGAAAAGCCUCUAAGCAUCAGGUAACAUCAAAUCGUACCCCAAACCGACACAGGUGGUCAGGUAGAGAAUACCAAGGCGCUUGAGAGAACUCGGGUGAAGGAACUAGGCAAAAUGGUGCCGUAACUUCGGGAGAAGGCACGCUGACACGUAGGUGAAGUGAUUUACUCAUGGAGCUGAAGUCAGUCGAAGAUACCAGCUGGCUGCAACUGUUUAUUAAAAACACAGCACUGUGCAAACACGAAAGUGGACGUAUACGGUGUGACGCCUGCCCGGUGCCGGAAGGUUAAUUGAUGGGGUCAGCGCAAGCGAAGCUCCUGAUCGAAGCCCCGGUAAACGGCGGCCGUAACUAUAACGGUCCUAAGGUAGCGAAAUUCCUUGUCGGGUAAGUUCCGACCUGCACGAAUGGCGUAAUGAUGGCCAGGCUGUCUCCACCCGAGACUCAGUGAAAUUGAACUCGCUGUGAAGAUGCAGUGUACCCGCGGCAAGACGGAAAGACCCCGUGAACCUUUACUAUAGCUUGACACUGAACAUUGAGCCUUGAUGUGUAGGAUAGGUGGGAGGCUUUGAAGCGUGGACGCCAGUCUGCGUGGAGCCGGCCUUGAAAUACCACCCUUUAAUGUUUGAUGUUCUAACGUGGACCCGUGAUCCGGGUUGCGGACAGUGUCUGGUGGGUAGUUUGACUGGGGCGGUCUCCUCCUAAAGAGUAACGGAGGAGCACGAAGGUUGGCUAAUCCUGGUCGGACAUCAGGAGGUUAGUGCAAUGGCAUAAGCCAGCUUGACUGCGAGCGUGACGGCGCGAGCAGGUGCGAAAGCAGGUCAUAGUGAUCCGGUGGUUCUGAAUGGAAGGGCCAUCGCUCAACGGAUAAAAGGUACUCCGGGGAUAACAGGCUGAUACCGCCCAAGAGUUCAUAUCGACGGCGGUGUUUGGCACCUCGAUGUCGGCUCAUCACAUCCUGGGGCUGAAGUAGGUCCCAAGGGUAUGGCUGUUCGCCAUUUAAAGUGGUACGCGAGCUGGGUUUAGAACGUCGUGAGACAGUUCGGUCCCUAUCUGCCGUGGGCGCUGGAAGACUGAGGGGGGCUGCUCCUAGUACGAGAGGACCGGAGUGGACGCAUCACUGGUGUUCGGGUUGUCAUGCCAAUGGCACUGCCCGGUAGCUAAAUGCGGAAGAGAUAAGUGCUGAAAGCAUCUAAGCACGAAACUUGCCCCGAGAUGAGUCUUCCCUGAGACUUCGAGUCUCCUGAAGGAACGUUAAAGACGAUGACGUUGAUAGGCCGGGUGUGUAAGCGCAGCGAUGCGUUGAGCUAACCGGUACUAAUGAACCGUGAGGCUUAACCUU
RNAcentral lists this ribosomal RNA (2904 nucleotides) under Salmonella enterica subsp. salamae. Its description in RNAcentral is "bacterial LSU rRNA". It matches the Rfam family "Bacterial large subunit ribosomal RNA". Lineage: Bacteria; Pseudomonadati; Pseudomonadota; Gammaproteobacteria; Enterobacterales; Enterobacteriaceae. The record is from RNAcentral.